This is a non-coding RNA of Lates calcarifer (barramundi perch), 575 nucleotides long. NCBI's taxonomy places the organism in Eukaryota, Metazoa, Chordata, Actinopteri, Centropomidae. The record is from the annotation of a RefSeq genome assembly.
ACCAUUUUAGACCAUUUCAAAGUAUUUCCAUAGAGAGCCACUUUGCAUCAGCAGCACCAUGCUCCAGUGCUCUGGGAGAGUUUAUAGUCCUGAGAGUUGAAGACUGGAUGACUGACAGCUGUCCUUCAUGACAACAGAAGCCACAGAAAUCCUCCUCAUCAAAAACAUGACUUUGAUCUCCGUCCUCAUCUGGACUCUCCUCUGCUGCUGCUUCACAGAGUCCAGAGGCCAGGUCACAGUGACUCAGCCUGGAGCAGUGAGAUCUGCUGUGGGAGGCUCUGUCACCAUCACAUGUAGGACCAGUCAGAAUGUUUACUUUGGGGGCACCUACCACUAUUUAGCCUGGUACCAACAGAGAGAUGGAGAAACUCCUAAACUGCUAAUUUCCCUUGCUACCAGUCGACAGUCAGGGAUUCCAGAUCGUUUUACAGGCAGUGGAUCAAACUCUGACUUCACUCUGACCAUCAGUGGAGUCCAGGCUGAAGAUGCAGCAGUUUACUACUGUCAGAGUCUUCACUCUAUCAACAGUCAGUGGGUGUUAACACAGUGAAAAAGCGUCGUACAAAAACCUCCCU